CAGGCAGGGGCGGAAGCAGUGGUAUCAGGGGCUGCGCAGGAAGAGGUUGUGUUUCAGCUGCCAGUGGUGUCGGAUCCAGUGGUCGAAGAGGUUGCACAGCCUGCUUUUGUUGAGGAGCCCAUGGUCGAAGAGUUCAUCGUGGAUCAUCCUUCAUCCCCCCAACACCUUGACUAGACGAAUCCCUCUUAUGUCUCUUUUGUUUGUACAAGAUUGUCUUCUUUUUUUUUUUUUUGUAGGACUUAUUCCUGUUGUAAAAUUUCCUUUGGACCUAUUUUAUAUAAUCGUGUGAUUUGAUCCUCUUGAAUGUUCUGGAUGGUGUUCUUUUAUUUUUAUUGUUAUCGUGUAAUAUUCCCAUAUUUUAU
RNAcentral lists this long non-coding RNA (362 nucleotides) under Salvia miltiorrhiza (redroot sage). Its description in RNAcentral is "long non-coding RNA (SMIL_LNC002317)". Lineage: Eukaryota; Viridiplantae; Streptophyta; Magnoliopsida; Lamiales; Lamiaceae. The record is from RNAcentral.